Molecule: ribosomal RNA, 1297 nt
Filed under: Nocardia sp.
Lineage: Bacteria; Bacillati; Actinomycetota; Actinomycetes; Mycobacteriales; Nocardiaceae
Description: bacterial SSU rRNA
Rfam family: Bacterial small subunit ribosomal RNA
Source: RNAcentral
CGGGUGAGUAACACGUGGGUGAUCUGCCUUGCACUUCGGGAUAAGCCUGGGAAACUGGGUCUAAUACCGGAUAUGACCACGAACUGCAUGGUUUGUGGUGGAAAGAUUUAUCGGUGCGAGAUGGGCCCGCGGCCUAUCAGCUUGUUGGUGAGGUAACGGCCCACCAAGGCGACGACGGGUAGCCGACCUGAGAGGGUGACCGGCCACACUGGGACUGAGACACGGCCCAGACUCCUACGGGAGGCAGCAGUGGGGAAUAUUGCACAAUGGGCGAAAGCCUGAUGCAGCGACGCCGCGUGCGGGAUGACGGCCUUCGGGUUGUAAACCGCUUUUGACAGGGACGAAGCGCAAGUGACUGUACCUGUAGAAUAAGGACCGGCCAACUACGUGCCAGCAGCCGCGGUAAUACGUAGGGUCCGAGCGUUGUCCGGAAUUACUGGGCGUAAAGAGCUUGUAGGCGGUUCGUCGCGUCGUUUGUGAAAACUUGGGGCUCAACCUUAAGCUUGCAGGCGAUACGGGCGGACUAGAGUACUUCAGGGGAGACUGGAAUUCCUGGUGUAGCGGUGAAAUGCGCAGAUAUCAGGAGGAACACCGGUGGCGAAGGCGGGUCUCUGGGAAGUAACUGACGCUGAGAAGCGAAAGCAUGGGUAGCAAACAGGAUUAGAUACCCUGGUAGUCCAUGCCGUAAACGGUGGGUACUAGGUGUGGGGCUCCUUCCACGGACUCCGUGCCGUAGCUAACGCAUUAAGUACCCCGCCUGGGGAGUACGGCCGCAAGGCUAAAACUCAAAGAAAUUGACGGGGGCCCGCACAAGCGGCGGAGCAUGUGGAUUAAUUCGAUGCAACGCGAAGAACCUUACCUGGGUUUGACAUACACCGGAAACCUGCAGAGAUGUAGGCCCCCUUGUGGUCGGUGUACAGGUGGUGCAUGGCUGUCGUCAGCUCGUGUCGUGAGAUGUUGGGUUAAGUCCCGCAACGAGCGCAACCCUUAUCUUAUGUUGCCAGCGCGUAAUGGCGGGGACUCGUGAGAGACUGCCGGGGUCAACUCGGAGGAAGGUGGGGACGACGUCAAGUCAUCAUGCCCCUUAUGUCCAGGGCUUCACACAUGCUACAAUGGCCGGUACAGAGGGCUGCGAUACCGCGAGGUGGAGCGAAUCCCUUAAAGCCGGUCUCAGUUCGGAUCGGGGUCUGCAACUCGACCCCGUGAAGUUGGAGUCGCUAGUAAUCGCAGAUCAGCAACGCUGCGGUGAAUACGUUCCCGGGCCUUGUACACACCGCCCGUCACGUCAUGAAAGUCG